RNAcentral lists this ribosomal RNA (205 nucleotides) under uncultured bacterium. Its description in RNAcentral is "partial 16S ribosomal RNA". It matches the Rfam family "Bacterial small subunit ribosomal RNA", at positions 1289 to 1500 of the family's 1533-position model. The record is from RNAcentral.
CAGUUCGGAUUGCAGGCUGCAACUCGCCUGUAUGAAGUCGGAAUUGCUAGUAAUCGCGGAUCAGCAUGCCGCGGUGAAUACGUUCCCGGGCCUUGUACACACCGCCCGUCAAGCCAUGGGAGUCGGGAGUGCCUGAAGUUCGUGACCGUCACAGGAGCGACCUAAGGCAAGACCGAUGACUGGGGCUAAGUCGUAACAAGGUAAC